AUGAUUCGACCUCAUGGGAUCAAUAUCCCCGACGGCAAGUUCUACCUCGGAAAUGCUGGCUAUGCAUGUCGGCCGGGUAUUCUUCCACCCUUCAGGAAAACCAGGUACCAUCUCAACGAGUUCUCUGGUAGGAACUAUCCUAGGACUGCACAGGAGAUGUUUAAUCUCAGACACUCCAGCCUUAGAGUAACUGUUGAGAGGGCAUUUGGAGCUCUGAAGAAUAGGUUUAAGAUCCUGGAUCAGAAGCCAUGCCACCCAUACUCCACUCAGGUUAAGCUUGUUCUUGCUUGUUGCAUUCUGCAUAACUGGAUCCUCUAGUGGGGCUUUGAUGAACACGUGCCUGAGGAGGAAGAGGUCGAGCCUAACGAUGUUGUUAGCUCCGGCCAUGGAGUGGAGGCAUUUGACAAUGACGCUUGGAAGAACAAAAGGUUGGAGUGGGCAGAGGCAACGUGGCUUAACAAAGGUCAGUGCAAGAUUUGA
RNAcentral lists this ribosomal RNA (480 nucleotides) under Triticum aestivum (bread wheat). RNAcentral's name for it is "partial small subunit ribosomal RNA". Lineage: Eukaryota; Viridiplantae; Streptophyta; Magnoliopsida; Poales; Poaceae. The record is from RNAcentral.